GGAACACUAUCAGGAGAACCCCCAUGAUCCAAUCACCUCCCAUCAGGUCCCUCCUCUGACACGUGGGGAUUACAAUUGGAGAUGAGAUUUGGACAGGGACACAGAGCCAAACCAAAUCAUUUAAGAAAGGAUGAAUUCACCCAGCAUUGAAAUCAAGUGAAAGCUUCAGACAAAAGUGAAGCAAAUUAAAGUCCAUCCCGCCAUCCUUCCAAAGAGCAAAGAAAGUCCAUGGAAAUUCAUCAACAUCCAGGAUGCUCAGGAGCUUCCAGGUUCAACAGAUGCGUGAGAUCCAUAGCAGAAACAUUGCUGUCCUCUUCAGAUUCAAGUACGGGUGAAAGUCAAGCUCUGGGAUACUGGAGCAGGGCUAUAUAAUUCUCUUUCCCUUGUAAUUUCAUUAAAAAAGAUUAAGGAAACCCUUGAAAAGUUGUAGAUACCUAAAAUUUUGGCCGUGCAUUGAUCAUCCACAAAAAGUGAAAGAUCACAAGUGAUCAAGCCACAUGUGUGAAAAAUCUCAAAUACACUUUGGGAGGCCGAGGCGGGCCGAUCAUAAGGUCAGGAGAUCGACACCAUCCUGGCUAACAGGGUGAAACCCCGUCUCUACUAAAAAUACAAAAAAUUAGCUGGGCAUGGUGGUGGGCACCUGUAGUCCCAGCUACUGGGAAGACUGAGGCAGAAGAAUGGCGUGAACCCGGGAGGCGAAGCUUGCAGUGAGCCGAGAUCGCACCACUGCACUCUAGCCUGGGCAACAGAGCGAGACUCCAUCUCAAAAAAAAAAAAAAAAAAAAAAAGAAAGAAAACUCUCAAAUAACUCUUGAUUCAAAUAGUCAACAUAACUCCUGGAGGAAAAAAAAAAGCAUUUCUACAUUGAGAGAGACAUUGCUAUAGUCCCC
This 890-nucleotide long non-coding RNA is filed under the name Homo sapiens (human). Its description in RNAcentral is "HSALNT0218373". Lineage: Eukaryota; Metazoa; Chordata; Mammalia; Primates; Hominidae. The record is from RNAcentral.